Molecule: long non-coding RNA, 1197 nt
Organism: Poecilia latipinna (sailfin molly)
Lineage: Eukaryota; Metazoa; Chordata; Actinopteri; Cyprinodontiformes; Poeciliidae
Exons: 3
Source: RefSeq, a predicted model, not a curated record
UGGUCAAGCCAACUGUCCAUAAAUUCAAACCAAUAGGAGCAAAGAAAAGUUGUCCACUUGAACAGCAAGAAAGAUUUGAUCCAGACGUCCAUUCAGCCCGUCUGCUGUAUUGACACCUGGAAUGGACAAUGCUUUCACAGGCGACACGUUAGAGGGGUGCUUAUCCUACGCAGCGAGGAAUUAUUCACAUUUGUGAUUCUUCAUUACAAAGACUCUCAAAUGGCUGCCGCCCCCUGACAAUGGAUUGCUCCCUGGCCCUCCAGGUGCCCCCGCAGAUGACUGACGUGUAACGGCACACCGGAUCAUUUCUGCAAUCGCGUAGGGGUGUCACUUAUACCGAAGCGGAAAGAAUGUGCCCCUGGUGGUCUGCACCGUGUAUAAAAGGUGUAUCCCACAACCACGUGACCAUGCACUUUCUCCUUCUGUCACACGAACUUCCAAAAUGCCUUAAUGUUUGCUGCAGUAACGUGACAAAAUUGUCAUCGCAUUUAAAACCUUUGCAAAGGACAGUAGCUUAGUGAGACUCCAAAUGUUUCUCUCUUGAAAAAUCCAGAAAAAUACACAGUGGAUUGUAGGGGUACACAGUGCCCUGCAAACGACUCGAUCCGGCCACCUUACAUGUCAUCAUGUUCCACUGUAAACUCAAUGUGAUACGAGCUCCAAAGGCAUCUUUUGAUGCCAAUAUUAUCCUCAAUGUCAGUGCAGAUCUCCCGUCAGCCUGGCCCUAAUACACAGUGACAGGAGCCCCGCGGUGAGGACCCCACUCUGUCGUCUGAUCGGGCAACCAGAUGGACAGCUCAGCAGCAAGAGGGGACCUGAUAUCAGUGUCAGCAAUCAGAUCUCACCCGCUGAGAACUCGUGUGUGUGCGCGAGGCGGCGUGGGAGAGAGAAUACACAGUGCGAAGUGAUUGUUGGGAGCAUAUGUGCUGACGGCAGCCGGAGUGUGUGUUGAAAUGAAGAUUAAUGAAUAAGGUCCCGGUAACGUGUGUGUGUGCAGAUGAAGUCGGAGGGUCAACGGACGCUUCGAACUGCGCACAGACUUAAACUUGAGUGUGCACACGGUGUGUAGGUGGCGGUAUGUAAAAGUGUGUGCCUGGUUAAAUUGUAUCUUUUGACUUUUCAUCACCUCUUGUCCCACAGCUGCGAGGUGCAGACUGACCUGAGAGAAGCUCACAAAGCUCCCCUAUAACGUCACAA